UACGGAGGGUGCAAGCGUUGCUCGGAAUUAUUGGGCGUAAAGGGCAGGUAGGUGGUCUCAUUUGUCUGGGGUGAAAGCCUUGAGCUUAACUCAAGAAGUGCCCCAGAAACGGUGAGACUCGAGUCUUGGAGAGGGUCGUGGAAUUCCCGGUGUAGCGGUGAAAUGCGUAGAGAUCGGGAGGAACACCAGAGGCGAAGGCGGCGACCUGGACAAGUACUGACACUCAACUGCGAAAGCGUGGGGAGCAAACAGG
RNAcentral lists this ribosomal RNA (253 nucleotides) under uncultured bacterium. RNAcentral describes it as "partial 16S ribosomal RNA". It matches the Rfam family "Bacterial small subunit ribosomal RNA", at positions 524 to 776 of the family's 1533-position model. RNAcentral also lists the same sequence under 1 other name. The record is from RNAcentral.